UUGUUCGGAAUUACUGGGCGUAAAGCGCGUGUAGGCGGCUCUUCAAGUCAGGCGUGAAAGCCCCGGGCUCAACCCGGGAACUGCGCUUGAUACUGUCGAGCUAGAGUGUGGAAGGGGCGAUUGGAAUUCCGUGUGUAGCGGUGAAAUGCGUAGAUAUACGGAGGAACACCAGAGGCGAAGGCGGAUCGCUGGGCCAACACUGACGCUGAGACGCGAAAGCUAGGGUAGCAAACGGG
Molecule: ribosomal RNA, 236 nt
Filed under: uncultured bacterium
Lineage: Bacteria
Description: partial 16S ribosomal RNA
Rfam family: Bacterial small subunit ribosomal RNA
Source: RNAcentral